This 82-nucleotide transfer RNA is filed under the name Clostridiales bacterium. RNAcentral describes it as "tRNA-Leu". It matches the Rfam family "tRNA". Rfam says of the family: Transfer RNA (tRNA) molecules are approximately 80 nucleotides in length. Their secondary structure includes four short double-helical elements and three loops (D, anti-codon, and T loops). The record is from RNAcentral. Lineage: Bacteria; Bacillati; Bacillota; Clostridia; Eubacteriales.
GCGGAUGUGGUGGAAUUGGCAGACACGCCGGAUUUAGGUUCCGGUGCCGCAAGGCUUGCAGGUUCAAGUCCUGUCAUCCGCA